CCUGGGCUCGAACGUAAGAUGACUGUAGGUGAAAGACUUACCAUCUCUUCGGAGCAUUUUACGAGGUGCUGCAUGGUUGUCGUCAGCUCGUGCCGUGAGGUGUCGGGUUAAGUCCCAUAACGAGCGCAACCCCUACCUUUAGUUGCCAUCAGGUUAAGCUGGGGACUCUAAAGGAACUGCCUACGCAAGUAGUGAGGAAGGCGGGGAUGACGUCAAAUCAGCACGGCCCUUACGUCCAGGGCUACACACGUGCUACAAUGGCCGAUACAGAGGGCAGCUACCUGGUGACACGGAUGCAAAUCUCCAAAGUCGGUCUCAGUUCGGAUCGGAGUCUGCAACCCGACUCCGUGAAGUUGGAUUCGCUAGUAAUCGCGCAUCAGCCAUGGCGCGGUGAAUACGUUCCCGGGCCUU
Molecule: ribosomal RNA, 411 nt
Filed under: uncultured Sphingobacteriales bacterium
Lineage: Bacteria; Pseudomonadati; Bacteroidota; Sphingobacteriia; Sphingobacteriales
Description: bacterial SSU rRNA
Rfam family: Bacterial small subunit ribosomal RNA
Source: RNAcentral